Molecule: ribosomal RNA, 406 nt
Filed under: uncultured bacterium
Lineage: Bacteria
Description: partial 16S ribosomal RNA
Rfam family: Bacterial small subunit ribosomal RNA
Source: RNAcentral
AAUAUUGCGCAAUGGAGGGAACUCUGACGCAGCGACGCCGCGUGAGCGAUGAAGGUUUUCGGAUCGUAAAGCUCUGUCCUUGGGGAAGAAGGUCUUCGGACUUGACGGUACCUAAGGAGGAAGCCCCGGCUAACUACGUGCCAGCAGCCGCGGUAAUACGUAGGGGGCAAGCGUUGUCCGGAUUUACUGGGUGUAAAGGGCGCGCAGGCGGUUUAGUAAGUCAGCUGUGAAAGUCCAGGGCUUAACCCUGGAAUUGCAGUUGAAACUACCAAACUUGAGAUAAGGAGAGGAGAGCGGAAUUCCUAGUGUAGCGGUGAAAUGCGUAGAUAUUAGGAAGAACACCAGUGGCGAAGGCGGCUCUCUGGCCUUGAACUGACGCUGAGGCGCGAAAGCGUGGGUAGCGAAC